GUGGGUGGCAAGCGUUGUCCGGAAUUAUUGGGCGUAAAGCGCGCGCAGGCGGUUCUUUAAGUCUGAUGUGAAAGCCCACGGCUCAACCGUGGAGGGUCAUUGGAAACUGGAGAACUUGAGUACAGAAGAGGAAAGCGGAAUUCCACGUGUAGCGGCGAAAUGCGUAGAGAUGUGGAGGAACACCAGUGGCGAAGGCGGCUUUCUGGUCUGUAACUGACGCUGAGGCGCGAAAGCGUGGGGAGCAAACAGGAUUAGAUACCCUGGUAGUCCACGCCGUAAACGAUGAGUGCUAAGUGUUAGGGGGUUUCCGCCCCCCUUAGUGCUGCAGCUAACGCAUUAAGCACUCCGCCUGGGAGUACGGCCGCAAGGCUG
This 372-nucleotide ribosomal RNA is filed under the name uncultured organism. Its description in RNAcentral is "partial 16S ribosomal RNA". It matches the Rfam family "Bacterial small subunit ribosomal RNA", at positions 527 to 896 of the family's 1533-position model. The record is from RNAcentral.